AUUGAACGCUGGCGGCAUGCCUUACACAUGCAAGUCGAACGGCAGCGGGGGAGAAGCUUGCUUUUCCUGCCGGCGAGUGGCGAACGGGUGAGUAAUACAUCGGAACGUGCCCUGUAGUGGGGGAUAACUAGUCGAAAGAUUAGCUAAUACCGCAUACGACCUGAGGGUGAAAGUGGGGGACCGCAAGGCCUCAUGCUAUAGGAGCGGCCGAUGUCUGAUUAGCUAGUUGGUGGGGUAAAGGCCUACCAAGGCGACGAUCAGUAGCUGGUCUGAGAGGACGAUCAGCCACACUGGGACUGAGACACGGCCCAGACUCCUACGGGAGGCAGCAGUGGGGAAUUUUGGACAAUGGGCGAAAGCCUGAUCCAGCAAUGCCGCGUGUGUGAAGAAGGCCUUCGGGUUGUAAAGCACUUUUGUCCGGAAAGAAAUGGCUCUGGUUAAUACCUGGGGUCGAUGACGGUACCGUAAGAAUAAGCACCGGCUAACUACGUGCCAGCAGCCGCAGUAA
This 508-nucleotide ribosomal RNA is filed under the name uncultured bacterium. RNAcentral describes it as "partial 16S ribosomal RNA". It matches the Rfam family "Bacterial small subunit ribosomal RNA", at positions 30 to 523 of the family's 1533-position model. The record is from RNAcentral.